AGCGAACGCUGGCGGUAGGCCUAACACAUGCAAGUCGAACGGCCGUACAGUAAGAGCUUGCUCUUACGGGUGGCGAGUGGCGGACGGGUGAUGAAUACAUUGGAAUCUACUUUUUCGUGGGGGAUAACGUACGGAAACUUACCCUAAUACCGCAUACGACCUACGGGUGAAAGCAGGGGAGCCUCGGUACUUUCGCGAUUGAAUGAGGCGGUGUCGGAUUAGCUAGUUGGCGGGGUAAAGGCCCACCAAGGCGACGAUGCGUAGCUGGUCUGAGAGGGUGAUCGGCCACACUGGAACUGAGACACGGUCCAGACUCCUACGGGAGGCAGCAGUGGGGAAUCUUCGGCAAUGGGCGCAAGCCUGAUCGAGCCAUGCCGCGUGAGUGAUGAAGGCCUUCGGAUCGUAAAGCUCUGUUGUUGGGGAAGAAAAACUGCGGGAGUAACUCCCGCUGUCUUGACGGUACCUAAAGAGAAAGCACCGGCUAACUACGUG
RNAcentral lists this ribosomal RNA (492 nucleotides) under uncultured bacterium. Its description in RNAcentral is "partial 16S ribosomal RNA". It matches the Rfam family "Bacterial small subunit ribosomal RNA", at positions 29 to 507 of the family's 1533-position model. The record is from RNAcentral.